This 1417-nucleotide unclassified non-coding RNA is filed under the name Haloquadratum walsbyi C23. The record is from RNAcentral. Lineage: Archaea; Methanobacteriati; Methanobacteriota; Halobacteria; Halobacteriales; Haloferacaceae.
GUUUCAGAUGAACCCUUGAUGGGUUGAAGUAAGCUCGAAGGUGCGCGUUGGUGAUGCACCGAACUCGUUUCAGAUGAACCCUUGAUGGGUUGAAGUGACAAACGUGGUCGCGGUGGGGAGUGCGCCCGCCUCGUUUCAGAUGAACCCUUGAUGGGUUGAAGUCACCAACACAAUCGCCGGAGCUAUCCACGGGAGUGUUUCAGAUGAACCCUUGAUGGGUUGAAGUAAUAAUUAGAUACAGCCAAUGAAUCUUAAAACUAGAGUUUCAGAUGAACCCUUGAUGGGUUGAAGUAGGCAGUCACACCGCCGAUGACGGGAGUGCAGACGUUUCAGAUGAACCCUUGAUGGGUUGAAGUGACCUGAGAUAUGAUGAUGACCCAUAAGACAAACAUGUUUCAGAUGAACCCUUGAUGGGUUGAAGUAAUCUGCAGAACCCGUUUGUCGCAUCGAAUGCGCUGGUUUCAGAUGAACCCUUGAUGGGUUGAAGUCUCGCGUUCCUUGUCGUAACGCUCUCGACGGUAAUCGUUUCAGAUGAACCCUUGAUGGGUUGAAGUCUCCAGUAGUCUGUCGUCGUCGCUGACGCUGCGUAGGUUUCAGAUGAACCCUUGAUGGGUUGAAGUCCGCCCGGUGAAACGCGGUUUUUGAUUGAGAAACCAGUUUCAGAUGAACCCUUGAUGGGUUGAAGUCUUACAGACGGGGAGGGCGAUCGUCGUGUCGCCAGCGGUUUCAGAUGAACCCUUGAUGGGUUGAAGUUGCCCGAUAACGCCAGCGACGAUUGCGAGCAUAAACGCGUUUCAGAUGAACCCUUGUUGGGUUGAAGUACGCAGUGAGUCCGUCGAUGUCGAGAUUACGACCGGUUUCAGAUGAACCCUUGAUGGGUUGAAGUACACUCGGCACAAAAUGCGGUCAGAAACAGACCGCCGGUUUCAGAUGAACCCUUGAUGGGUUGAAGUGGCUUGUGCUGCGUUCUCGGCUGUUUUGCGUGGUGUGUUUCAGAUGAACCCUUGAUGGGUUGAAGUCGGCAAUUGGAGGAUACUAAUAGACAUGGCAUUAACCGUUUCAGAUGAACCCUUGAUGGGUUGAAGUUUUCCAUCGUCGCAGUUAACCCAGAUCUCAUUAUCCUGUUUCAGAUGAACCCUUGAUGGGUUGAAGUAUCCUGCAGUUGCGCUCGCUCUCGCUCGUAAUCGCUGGUUUCAGAUGAACCCUUGAUGGGUUGAAGUAAGUUCAGGACUUGUCUCUACAAGCACGUCGUGAAGAGUUUCAGAUGAACCCUUGAUGGGUUGAAGUAUUUUCGUUUAGGGAGGGAUCCUGGUGUCGUAGGAGUUUCAGAUGAACCCUUGAUGGGUUGAAGUCGGGAUAUCCUUGAUGAGAUGCAACUCAGUUAGGUGUUUCAGAUGAACCUUCGUUGGGUUGAAUC